Molecule: ribosomal RNA, 914 nt
Filed under: uncultured archaeon
Lineage: Archaea
Description: bacterial SSU rRNA
Rfam family: Archaeal small subunit ribosomal RNA
Source: RNAcentral
UUCCGGUUGAUCCUGCCGGACCUGACUGCUAUCGGAUUGAUACUAAGCCAUGCGAGUCUUUGCAGUAAUGCAAGGCAUACGGCUCAGUAACACGUAGUCAACUUACCCUAUGGACGAGGAUAAUCUCGGGAAACUGAGCAUAAUACUCGAUAGAUCAUAAUGCCUGGAAUGGUUUAUGGUUGAAAUGAUUCGUCGCCAUAGGAUGGGACUGCGGCCUAUCAGCUUGUUGGUGAGGUAAUGGCCCACCAAGGCGAUUACAGGUACGGGCUCUGAGAGGAGAAGCCCGGAGAUGGGUACUGAGACAAGGACCCAGGCCCUAUGGGGCGCAGCAGGCGAGAAAACUUUGCAACGUGCGAAAGCACGACAAGGUUAAUCCGAGUGAUUUCUGCUAAAGAAAUCUUUUGCAAGUCAUAAAACCACUAGUGAAUAAGGGGUGGGCAAGUUCUGGUGUCAGCCGCCGCGGUAAAACCAGCACCUCAAGUGGUCAGGAGGAUUAUUGGGCCUAAAGCAUCCGUAGCCGGCUCUGUAAGUUUUCGGUUAAAUCCAUGUGCUCAACGCAUGGGCUGCCGAAAAUACUGCAUAGCUAGGGAGUGGGAGAGGUAGACGGUACUCGGUAGGAAGGGGUAAAAUCCUUUGAUCUAUCGAUGACCACCUGUGGCGAAGGCGGUCUACCAGAACACGUUCGACGGUGAGGGAUGAAAGCUGGGGGAGCAAACCGGAUUAGAUACCCGGGUAGCCCCAGCUGUAAACGAUGCAGACUCGAUGAUGCAUUGGCAUAUAGCCAGUGCAGUGUCGCAGGGAAGCCGUUAAGUCUGCCGCCUGGGAAGUACGUACGCAAGUAUGAAACUUAAAGGAAUUGGCGGGGGAGCACCACAAGGGGUGAAGCCUGCGGUUCAAUUGGAGUCAACGCCGGG